This 490-nucleotide ribosomal RNA is filed under the name uncultured bacterium. RNAcentral describes it as "partial 16S ribosomal RNA". It matches the Rfam family "Bacterial small subunit ribosomal RNA", at positions 30 to 507 of the family's 1533-position model. The record is from RNAcentral.
AUUGAACGCUGGCGGCAGGCCUAACACAUGCAAGUCGAACGGUAACAGGAAGAAGCUUGCUUCUUUGCUGACGAGUGGCGGACGGGUGAGUAAUGUCUGGGAAACUGCCUGAUGGAGGGGGAUAACUACUGGAAACGGUAGCUAAUACCGCAUAACGUCGCAAGACCAAAGAGGGGGACCUUCGGGCCUCUUGCCAUCGGAUGUGCCCAGAUGGGAUGAGCUAGUAGGUGGGGUAACGGCUCACCUAGGCGACGAUCCCUAGCUGGUCUGAGAGGAUGACCAGCCACACUGGAACUGGGACAGGGUCCAGACUCCUACGGGAGGCAGCAGUGGGGAAUAUUGCACAAUGGGCGCAAGCCUGAUGCAGCCAUGCCGCGUGUAUGAAGACGGCCUUCGGGUUGUAAAGUACUUUCAGCGGGGAGGAAGGGAGUAAAGUUAAUACCUUUGCUCAUUGACGUUACCCGCAGAAGAAGCACCGGCUAACUCCGUG